GUAGACCAGUCAAGCGCUGCAGCUUGGGCGUCUCUCCUCAUAAGAUUUAGUCAUGGGGCUUCUGGUACUCUGCGUCACCGCCCUUUUGUUCGGGGCGAUUCAGGGGGAGGGGUCGGACUCUCUGCAGCCGAAAAGCUUGCUCGAGUUGCUGAAGAAGGACGCCAGGGAUUUGGCCGAACUGGUCAAAUAUCACGACACUAAGUUGGACGCCGACGAACAAAAUGGCGAACAGCCUGAGGGAGUUGUGGAGAACAAGCGAG
Molecule: long non-coding RNA, 260 nt
Organism: Branchiostoma floridae (Florida lancelet)
Lineage: Eukaryota; Metazoa; Chordata; Leptocardii; Amphioxiformes; Branchiostomatidae
Exons: 3
Source: RefSeq, a predicted model, not a curated record